This 116-nucleotide small nuclear RNA is filed under the name Phlebotomus papatasi. The record is from RNAcentral. Lineage: Eukaryota; Metazoa; Arthropoda; Insecta; Diptera; Psychodidae.
GAUUUUUCCUCAGCAGAACGGGCAGAACAUAUACUAAAAUUGAAAUGAUACCGAUAAGAUUAGCAAGACCCCUGAGCAAGAAUGGCACAUGAAAUCGUGAUUAUACUUUUAUUAAU